GGCUCGGUGGUCUAGGUGGCAUGAUUCUCGCUUUGCAAGUGAGAGGUCCCGUUCAAAUCCCGACCGAGCCC
Molecule: non-coding RNA, 71 nt
Organism: Caerostris extrusa
Lineage: Eukaryota; Metazoa; Arthropoda; Arachnida; Araneae; Araneidae
Source: the annotation of a GenBank genome assembly